Molecule: long non-coding RNA, 6539 nt
Filed under: Xyrichtys novacula (pearly razorfish)
Lineage: Eukaryota; Metazoa; Chordata; Actinopteri; Labriformes; Labridae
Source: RNAcentral
GGGUACUUAAAUUAAAAUUGGGAAAGGGUACUCAAGCCAAACAAAUAUGGUGUCUAUUAUAUGAUUAUAAUUAUUUCUUAGAUAGAAAAUCGGUAUCGGAAAAAACGGUUUUGGCAGGUCAGACCUCCUUUAAAAACGGAAAUCGGUAUCGGCCAAGAAUAUUGCAAUCGGUGCAUCUCUACCGUUAUGCUCCACAAGGUGAUGAGGGGUAUACUAUGAUUCUUCUGUCUGUGAGACUUGUUCAGGUUUGAGUUUUUCACAUAACCAGCUUGAUUUAGUUUACUGAUUUCAGGGUUUUUCCUGGCUCAAAUUGAGGCAGAGGUGGCACCAUCCUGACCAUGCGCCAUGACGUGCAUGUAUUUGUAAAUUCAACUGACUCAUUUUCUUUUACAGGCAACAUACUUUAAGUUAAGAGUUCAAAAAAGAGUGUGACCAUUAUCAUGUUAAAGCAUUCAUUUAUUAAAACUAUAUACAUACACAAAUCAGCUGGCAACUUUAAAUUGAAAGUACACUUCAUCCACACAUCUCACAACCAGACAGAACAUUUCAGCCUCCUCUUUUUCAUUCUGUAGAACCUCCUCAUGCACUCCUUGUAGUCCAAGGCCUCCUGGUCUGGUCCAUCAACGGCCACCUUACAACAGACAGAAGUGCCUUUCCUUCAGUCUGUUCCGCAGAGGUGUCUUCACCUUAAACAAAACAAUUCAUCAUGCAUUAAGUAUUUUUGUUUUUAUUCUGAUACAGACAUGAAGAGUGAUAGUGUUUUAAUCAUAUAUUAUAUAUAUGUAUACGUUGCAGUGUCCUCCCUAAAAAAACGACAACCAAUUAUUUCUUAAACUAUCUAAACUAUGUUAUUUUAGUUUUUGUAACUUUAUUAGUUGAGUGUUUUUAGGUACUACAAUCUUUAAUAUACUUCUCCUUCUCUUCUGCUGCUUUGUGAACGGCUGUCACCUCAUGUCUUUUUAAUGUGUCCAGCCUGUAGUUGGUUGAUGGCUGUCUCACUAAGGAGGCAGCAAUUGCCUGCUGUGUUGGGGCACAGUGCUUUUGGCAUAAAUAGCAGUGCAUACCUUCCUCAGUAUGCCUGAGCCAGGUAAAUUGAUUGAGCCACUGCUUGUCAAAGCCACUGGCUCUGUGUUUUUGAGAAGAUCUAGAAAGAGAAAUAAAAACCACGUACACGUUGGUUUUGCGUUGUUAUGCUCCUAAUUGGAAACUAAUUAAUUAAUUACCCUCACCUCGCCGACUCGUCCUGUCCUGCAUUCUGACCCUCGCGAUCACCAGUCCCUUGUGAAGUACUUUCAGACCUGACACAAAUGUCCACGUUGUCCCCACCAUGAGUUAUAGCAUUUUAACUGCCUGUUACGUUUUUUCUCUGCUGUGUUUCACCUGGACUCUUGACUUUCCUCCUCGUGAGGUCGCUUUUUAAAGUACUGGCUGAUUUUGCCUGUCAUAUCUGCAACGCUAAAAAAACGGAGGAAACUUUUUUUUUAAUAAACACGUCAUGCUUGGAUGCAAAAAAGACAAGCAGUAUUUACCUGUUUGUACCAGCCGCCGGGGAAAAUCAGGUCGCCGAUAGCACCAACUAGCGGGAAAAAAACUUGAAAAAACAUGAUUCGAUCCGUUUCUUCUUCGGUAGAUGCUUCAGGUCUUUCCGGUGCACUGCUGUUGAUAUAGCGCCUUUAUAGUGGCGCAACGCUGCAACUGCAGUUAAAAUACGUUGCUGCUGCAAAGGGACAUCAUACACUCAAUCAACACAGCUGGAGCUUUACGCUGUGUUGAGCGAAAUCAAUGGCUCUGGCUGGGGGCGGCACAAAAUUAGGUGGAGGCGGCCGCCACGCAAUUUUGAACGCAGGAAAAACCCUGUGAUUUCAUUAUUGUAUAUGUCCGCUAAUUCAGGAUUAUUUUGAAGUUUGCGUUCAGAUGGACGGAGAAGGGGCAUAACAGAUUCUGCAGGGGCUUUUAGUUCAGGUGCAUCCUUUUCUCUUUGUAAAGGGGUUGCAUAGCGUUUGGUGCCAUCUGUUUCAACUCUCACAGUUUUCUUAUCCAGGAGGUCUAUGGUGUCUUUAUCUUGUUUUGACCUUGUGAUUAAUUUUUCAUUUCUAAAGGGAAGGAUAUCAGUUUGCCACAGUUGUUCUACGUGGUGUUUAAGUUCUGAGUAGGGGUUAACUGCUGAUGUUAAAAAGCACUGGGUAGAGGAAGGUUGAUCCUUGAAGAGCCCAUCCUAGACGUGUUCUCACUGCAGCUGGAGCUCCCUUUGAUCCAUAUUGGACUCUCUCUAUAGGUGUGAUCAGGAAAGGAUUGUCAAAUCCAUUGAGGAUGUGUGGCUGGACUUUGGAAAAGGAGCUUAGUGGGAAACCUUGCAAAUAGGGAAAGCGUUGCUUGAGUUUAUCCACAGGGUAACUUUGCUCAACAAGCAUUAUCAUGUCAGAAGUGAAGGCUCUGUCAAUUGAGAAUUUUUUUCUCAGGGCUUGAUGCAGCAGAGAUUUUAGGGUUAACAGUUUUUCCUUUCAAAGUUUCUGUUUGCUGCCUCACUGUUCACAGCUCAAGGUUUUCUGUUUCACCAUCCAGCCCAAGUUACUCUGCAGCACCUGGUCGUAGCAUUGUAUGCUCAGAUCUAUCAUCUAAGAUGACAUAUGUGUCAAGCAGUCUAUUGUUAUGGUGAAGACUCACUUUUACUGCUUUUAGCAACACUUUGGAUGCUAGGCUUCGUGGGUUCAGAUACAACACUCUAGAUGCUGACUGGGUUUUAUUUACAUUAUGUAGUACACCUAGGUGAAGGCCAUUACAUUUGGGACAGGGUUUUUUUUAGAGUGCAAUUAGCUGCUUUAUGGGUUCUUCCACAUUUCCAACAUCUAUUUUCUUCUUUUAGCCACUUAGACACUUUCUCGGGUUCUAAUUCUUUUAAACUUUCACAGUUUGUUACAGUGGUGGUUCUAGACUAAAUUACUCCCCGGGCGAGACCCCCUCCAAGACGACAAGAGUUAAUACAAAACCGCUUUGCGGUGCAGAUUUAUUAUAAUUAUCUUCUUUCUUUCUUUUUUGGAAGUGCUCGUGCCACCCCCCAAGAGUCAUGACACAAAUGCCGCCCCGGGCGGCUGCCCUGUUCGCCCGUGCCUAGAGCCGCUACUGGUUUGUUCGGUAGUGGGAGGUAGAUUGACAAAAGGCACAUGGGUACCUUCUUUCAGGCUGUUGUUCAUAACCAGAAGCACUUGGGCAGUGAGUAAACCUCUGGUCAGAUCCAUGGUGGAUCGUGGUAGGAUGCUUGAGCCUGUAGCUUGAUUCCUUUCUUUGAGUUUGAGGUGUGCUGAUUUGGAGACUGCUGGCUUGUGCUACCAUAGCUUGACGUUCUGCCUCUCCCUCAAGCCAAACUGAAAAUUCCACUAUAUUAUAAUGAAAGGUCGGGGAAACUGAGCGGGCAUGUCUUGCAAAGUUUGAGACUACCUUUACGGGGAGUUUAUUUAAUAAUCUCUGGACAUGUGAAGCACAUGCUAAUUCUGCUGCACUUUUCUCUGAAUUGAGUGAUUGCAACAUCCCUACUAAUAAGGCUGCAUGAUAUUGGAAAAAACUAAUAUUGCGAUUUUUUUCAUCCCUGCGAUAUAUAUUGCGAUAUUAAAAAAUAUAGGAAUUUUCACCAGAUGACCUGAAUAGCACUUAAUGUUAUGCUGCACUGCUGAAAUCUUGAGGACAGUUAACCUGCUCUGAUCUUACCUCUUUUUGUGAAUGUUAGUAGAACGGCUUCUGUCUCAGAGAUAUUUUUAGCUUUUAUUGUGCUGGGACGUUAUUGUGGAAACAGAUAAACACAGAAGACGUGUUUUGGUCGACAUUAUCCAUCUUGUAACCGAAAUAAUUCCAGAUAACUGACUUUCCUUUUGUUUUUUGGCAACAAGUCUUCAUCUUCUGUGGUUUUCUUUGUUCGUUGCUCAGUUUGCGAUUGUUGUUGUUGUUACCAGGGUGCUGAGAAACGCAUGUCCUCCGAAAAUUGCAUGCACCUCACAAAACGCACACUGCUUAUAGUAGAGUGGUCCACGGAAAUGUACAAUUUAAAACCCAUACAGUUCUUAUUUGUUGGGCUAAACAGUGAUGAAGAAUGUUCCGAAAGUAAUUGUCAGCGGACAUGCGUUUCUCAGCACAAUAUAAUAAUUAUAAUAAUUAUAAUUAUUAUAAUCCCAUGUGAAAACUGAAGACCUUAAAAAUUGCAGAUAGGAGACUUUGAGCUAUGUACACAUUUGUACAGCAAUAAACUAAUAUUUUCAUGUUGCUUCAAACUAAGGUGAGUGGAGUGAAGAGACAGAGAGAUGGAAGUUAGUUUGUGUAAACUACCCCACUUGCAGAUCUGAUAAAUGUUAGUUGUAAAGGUUAUCUGAGGCCACAGUUAAUCAUAUUAAAUUUUUUGUAUGUUGCUGACUAAGAUACACUGCAUGUGACUCUGCAUGUGCUGUUCAGCGAUCCACCAAUCACCUUCGUCCUUUACUCAGUUGCCAAUCAGACUCAGUUCUCAGUUGCCAAUCAGACUACCCUGCCAGCUGUCAAUCAAAAUCAGAGAGGAGGAAACCCACCCCUGCACAUGUUCUGCACAUGGAGUUACUCACUGGCUGCUGGUGUUGAGCCGAGAAACGCGUGUCCGCUGAGAAUUACUUUCGGAACUUUACUCAUGACUGUUAAGCCCAAACAAAUAAGAACUGUAUGGGUUUGUAUAUUUCCGUGGACCACUAUACUGUAAGCGGUGCGCGUUUUGCGAGGUGCAUGCAAUUGACGGAGGACAUGCGUUUCUUGGCACAACACCGCUAACAACAACAACGAUUUCAAAAUGAGCAACGAACAAGAGAAAACCACCGAAAAUGAAGAUUUGUUGCCAAAAAGAAAAGGAAAGGUUAACUGUCCUCAAGAUUUCAGCAGUGCAGCAUAACAUUAAAUGCUAUUCAGGUCAUCUGGUGAAAAUUCCUAUAUUUUUAAUAUCGCAAUAUACACUCACCGGCCACUUUAUUAGGUACACCAUGAUAGUAACGGGUUGGACCCCCUUUUGCCUUCAGAACUGCCUCAAUUCUUCGUGGCAUAGAUUCAACAAGGUGCUGGAAGCAUUCCUCAGAGAGCUUGGUCCAUAUUGACAUGAUGGCAUCACACAGUUGCCGCAGAUUUGUCGGCUGCACAUCCAUGAUGCGAAUCUCCCGUUCCACCACAUCCCAAAGAUGCUCUAUUGGAUUGAGAUCUGGUGACUGUGGAGGCCAUUUGAGUACAGUGAACUCAUUGUCAUGUUCAAGAAACCAGUCUGAGAUGAUUCCAGCUUUAUGACAUGGUGCAUUAUCCUGCUGAAAGUAGCCAUCAGAAGUUGGGUACAUUGUGGUCAUAAAAGGAUGGACAUGGUCAGCAACAAUACUCAGGUAGGCUGUGGCGUUGCAACGAUGCUCAAUUGGUACCAAGGGGCCCAAAGAGUGCCAAGAAAUUAUUCCCCACACCAUGACACCACCACCACCAGCCUGAACCGUUGAUACAAGGCAGGAUGGAUCCAUGCUUUCAUGUUGUUGACGCCAAAUUCUGACCCUACCAUCCGAAUGUCGCAGCAGAAAUCGAGACUCAUCAGACCAGGCAACGUUUUUCCAAUCUUCUAUUGUCCAAUUUCGAUGAGCUUGUGCAAAUUGUAGCCUCAGUUUCCUGUUCUUAGCUGAAAGGAGUGGCACCCGGCGUGGUCUUCUGCUGCUGUAGCCCAUCUGCCUCAAAGUUCGACGUACUGUGCGUUCAGAGAUGCUCUUCUGCCUACCUUGGUUGUAACGGGUGGUUAUUUGAGUCACUGUUGCCUUUCUAUCAGCUCGAACCAGUCUGGCCAUUCUCCUCUGACCUCUGGCAUCAACAAGGCAUUUCCGUCCACAGAACUGCCGCUCACUGGAUAUUUUUUCUUUUUCGGACCAUUCUCUGUAAACCCUAGAGAUGGUUGUGCGUGAAAAUCCCAGUAGAUCAGCAGUUUCUGAAAUACUCAGACCAGCCCUUCUGGCACCAACAACCAUGCCACGUUCAAAGUCACUCAAAUCACCUUUCUUCCCCAUACUGAUGCUCGGUUUGAUCUGCAGGAAAUUGUCUUGACCAUGUCUACAUGCCUAAAUGCACUAAGUUGCCGCCAUGUGAUUGGCUGAUUAGAAAUUAAGUGUUAACGAGCAGUUGGACAGGUGUACCUAAUAAAGUGGCCGGUGAGUGUAUAUCGCAGGGUUGAAAAAAAUCGCAAUGUUAGUUUUUUCCAAUAUCGUGCAGCCUUACCUAUGCCAUAGAAUUGAGGUGGUGUAAAGAAGCAGCAGACGGGUUGUUGGUUUGAUGAGUCGGUGGAGGAGUGGGAGCAGAGUCAAAUCUAUUGAAGAACAAAUUCAGCUCGUUGGCCCACUCCCUGUCUCCUGCUUCAGGUCCCCUCUCGUGGCCCCAGCUGUGACCUGAGAUGGAUUUCAGGCCUCUCCAGACUUCCCUCGCGUUGUUCUGUUGCAGAAGGUUUUCCAUCUUGGUCUUAUAGCUGGACCUCCCCUCUCUUAUAUUCUUCUUCAGCUCCCUCUGCACCCUCCUCGUCU